RNAcentral lists this ribosomal RNA (660 nucleotides) under Pseudomonas sp. RNAcentral describes it as "bacterial SSU rRNA". It matches the Rfam family "Bacterial small subunit ribosomal RNA", at positions 102 to 758 of the family's 1533-position model. Lineage: Bacteria; Pseudomonadati; Pseudomonadota; Gammaproteobacteria; Pseudomonadales; Pseudomonadaceae. The record is from RNAcentral.
ACGGGUGAGUAAUGCCUAGGAAUCUGCCUAGUAGUGGGGGACAACGUUUCGAAAGGAACGCUAAUACCGCAUACGUCCUACGGGAGAAAGUGGGGGAUCUUCGGACCUCACGCUAUUAGAUGAGCCUAGGUCGGAUUAGCUAGUUGGUAGGGUAAAGGCCUACCAAGGCGACGAUCCGUAACUGGUCUGAGAGGAUGAUCAGUCACACUGGAACUGAGACACGGUCCAGACUCCUACGGGAGGCAGCAGUGGGGAAUAUUGGACAAUGGGCGAAAGCCUGAUCCAGCCAUGCCGCGUGUGUGAAGAAGGCCCUCGGGUCGUAAAGCACUUUAAGUUGGGAGGAAGGGCUCAUAGCGAAUACCUGUGAGUUUUGACGUUACCAACAGAAUAAGCACCGGCUAACUUCGUGCCAGCAGCCGCGGUAAUACGAAGGGUGCAAGCGUUAAUCGGAAUUACUGGGCGUAAAGCGCGCGUAGGUGGCUUGAUAAGUUGGAUGUGAAAUCCCCGGGCUCAACCUGGGAACUGCAUCCAAAACUGUCUGGCUAGAGUGCGGUAGAGGGUAGUGGAAUUUCCAGUGUAGCGGUGAAAUGCGUAGAUAUUGGAAGGAACACCAGUGGCGAAGGCGACUACCUGGACUGACACUGACACUGAGGUGCGAAA